RNAcentral lists this ribosomal RNA (254 nucleotides) under uncultured bacterium. RNAcentral describes it as "partial 16S ribosomal RNA". It matches the Rfam family "Bacterial small subunit ribosomal RNA", at positions 524 to 776 of the family's 1533-position model. The record is from RNAcentral.
UACGAAGGGUGCAAGCGUUACUCGGAAUUACUGGGCGUAAAGCGUGCGUAGGUGGUUCGUUAAGUCUGUCGUGAAAUCCCUUGGCUCAACCAAGGAAGUGCGCGCGAAACUGGCGAGCUCGAGUGCCGGAGAGGGUCGCGGAAUUCCCGGUGUAGAGGUGAAAUUCGUAGAUAUCGGGAGGAACACCAGUGGCGAAGGCGGCGACCUGGACGGACACUGACGGCUGAGACGCGAAAGCGUGGGGAGCAAACAGG